This 89-nucleotide transfer RNA is filed under the name Danio rerio (zebrafish). It matches the Rfam family "tRNA". From Rfam's summary of the family: Transfer RNA (tRNA) molecules are approximately 80 nucleotides in length. Their secondary structure includes four short double-helical elements and three loops (D, anti-codon, and T loops). Lineage: Eukaryota; Metazoa; Chordata; Actinopteri; Cypriniformes; Danionidae. The record is from Rfam by way of RNAcentral.
GGCUCUGUGGCGCAAUAGAUAGCGCAUUGGACUUCUAGGCUGUGAGCUGAGCCAUUCAAAGGUUGUGGGUUCGAGUCCCACCAGAGUUG